Molecule: RNA transcript, 2240 nt
Organism: Morone saxatilis (striped sea-bass)
Lineage: Eukaryota; Metazoa; Chordata; Actinopteri; Moronidae
Gene: cunh6orf120
Gene name: chromosome unknown C6orf120 homolog
Exons: 3
Source: RefSeq, a predicted model, not a curated record
GCUGCAGUGAGCAGGGUCCGCCGGCGGGUGGCGCCAGUGAGCAGCUCCCGCUCGGUGAGUGGCCGGAAACGAGGAAGCGAAGAAGAGAACUUGAAGCAGGCUGUCUGCUGUCGUCCAGGCGGUGACCGACAGAUGCCUUCAUCAUGAUGCUGAGCUGCAGCGCUCUGGUCGUCGCCCUCCUGCUGUCCCAGGUCCGAGGCUUCCUGGGCCCCUCGGAGGACGACGACAUCGUCCCCGAGGAGUGGGUGCUGCUUCACGUGGUCCAGGGCCACAUCGGGGCCGGAAACUACAGCUACCUGCGCCUCAACCACGACGGCCGGAUCAUCCUGCACAUGCAAAGCCUCAAGGGAGACGCCGACCUGUACGUGUCGGAUAAAACUCUGCGGCCGAGCUUCGACACGUACAAGCUGCAGUCGGUCACCUGCGGCCGGGAUGUGGUGGUGGUGCCGGGGGACUUCUCCAGGCCCGUGGGCAUCGGGAUUUACGGGCACCCGUCUUACAAGGAGAGCGAGUUUGAAAUGCGGGUGUUUUAUGAUCAGACGGCUCCCCAGGACCCGUUCGAUAAGGGCUCAUACACUUCAGAGGACGGGUACAAGCAGAAGAGAUCCCCUCAGGCGGCGGAGGAGGACUUUCAGGAGGAGGAGUCGAUCUUUUGGACCAUUCUGAUCGGACUCUUGAAGAUCAUACUUGAGAUUUUGUUUUGAAAAUUGCUGCUGUGACUGUGGCUCAGUCAGCGUCGAUGUAUUAACAAACCCCAGAGAGAAAUCUGGCUUUUUAACAGUUUCUUUUCCUUGUCAUCAAACAUACGUACUUGAUUUAGAAAAAACCAAAACGCACCGGUUUCAGAAGGCGUUGAUGAAUGCUGAAUUGAAGCCAGAAAAUGUUUCACAAAGUGUGUAUGUCUGGUGAUAAGCAAAUCAACAUUAGUCAGAUUUAGCAGCUUUGGUGUCCCCUCGUAGAAAAGGCAGAAGGAAGCGUGUUGAGGUGAAGUACAGACACAUAGAUGUGAACCGCAGUUCAACCAAAGGGGCAAGAGGAGGCAUAUUUCUGGGGCUGUGUGUAAGUUGAAAGAGUUAUAGACUGGAGCCCUUCCCGAGGUGACGGCGAACAAAAACCUUUGUUCUGUGCAAAAAAACUUACAUUUGAAGCGAGCCUGAUUGUGUUUGGUGCUGCUCUGGAACCAGUUUUCUGGGCCGCGACACAAACAAACAGCUGGUUUGAGAUCAGACGCCCUCAAACUGCCUCAGUCGAACAGAUUCACUUUAAAAACACGUGUGCGGACAGCAGGUACGAUCGCUGACUCUCACCUCGGCCUGUGAAUGAAUGAAUGAAGCCGCUUGUCUUAACUCCGCAUAUCAACGCCACACAGCUCGUAAGUGUGUGUGGGUUUAAAUAUCACAAAAACUUAGCAAUACAGUGAUUGUCAGCCAUUCUGAGACACAGAAGAAGGCCUGAACUCGUACUUUAUGUCACACGAGCAGAUCGUUUAGGGAAAUCAUUGAAGGUAAAGCUGCUAAACAUGCUGUGAUCGUUAUUCUGUCUUCGUUUGCUGUUAACGGCGUAAUUUCAACUCCAAAUGGGAACAUGUGGUUCACGGACGUACUGCUACCGACCUGUUAUUAGCAGCAACAUCUCUUUGUUUUUCGUUUGUUUGUUUUGCCUGUUGGACAAGCUCCUGAUUUCAAACAUCACCUCCUGCCGUUGGAGUUCAGUUAUGAGUAAACUUGCGACCACUGAGCAGAAAUGUUCAACAGUGCCUUCAGAUAUCAGUCGUCUGCAGGGUGAACGAGCCGAGCAGUUUUCCUGUUUCCAGAAGACGAUGCAGUCAGGUUUGAAGAAGUGAAGCAACCUGCAGCUCAGAUGAUGGAUCUGUUUACCAGAAGGUUGAUAGUUCGAGUCCCAGCAGAAGACGUGAAAAUGUUCUUCUGUCUGUAGAUUGAAGAGAGAACCUGCAGCUGAGUUAGCACCUACAGUUCCUCCUCCUCAAAGGCAGUUAGUUUUUUGGAGUUCCUGAAAUAAGGACUGUGGUUAACAGGCUUAAGAGUCUUUCACUUUUUGUUUGACGACAUAAAACACGUCAGUAAAUAACCCCACCUGUGACUUUUGAAGCUUUUAUGAUGCUAACAAGCAGCUAAAUGAAAGAGGUUUUCAAUGACGAUGGAACAGUUAUACUCUAAAUAUAGAAUUUAAUUAAUCGCUGGAAGUUUAGUGGCGGUGAAUUGGGACCAAGAAAAGUCUCA